This 441-nucleotide ribosomal RNA is filed under the name uncultured bacterium. Its description in RNAcentral is "partial 16S ribosomal RNA". It matches the Rfam family "Bacterial small subunit ribosomal RNA", at positions 338 to 795 of the family's 1533-position model. The record is from RNAcentral.
CCUACGUGUGGCAGCAGUGGGGAAUAUUGCGCAAUGGGCGAAAGCCUGAAGCAGCGAAGCCGCGUGAGGGAUGAAGGUCUUCGGAUCGUAAAGCUCUAUCAGCAGGGAAUAGAAAAGAAGGUACCUGAAAAAGAAGCACAGGCUAACUACGUGCCAGCAGCCGCGGUAAGAAGUAGGGGGCAAGCGUUAUCCGGAUUUACUGGGUGUAAAGGGAGGGUAGACGGAAAGGAAAGUCAGAAGUGAAAGCCCAAGGAUCAACCAUGGGACUGCUUUUGAAACUGUCAAACUAGAGUACGGGAGAGGUAAGAGGAAUGCCUAGUGUAGCGGUGAAAUGCGUAGAUAUUAGGAGGAACACCAGUGGCGAAGGCGUCUUACUGGACCCAAACUGACGUUGAGGCUCGAAAGCGUGGGUAGCAAACAGGAUUAGAUACCCCUGUAGUC